GACGAACGCUGGCGGCGUGCUUAACACAUGCAAGUCGAACGGCAAGGCCCUGCUUGUGUGGGGUGCUCGAGUGGCGAACGGGUGAGGAACACGUGAGUAUCCUGCCCUUGACCUUGGGAUAACUUUAGGAGACUGGGGCUAAUACCGGAUAGGAGCUCCUGCUGCAUGGUGGGGGUGGGAAAGUUUCGGCGGUUGGGGAUGGACUCGCGGCUUAUCAGCCUGUUGGUGGGGUAGUGGCUUACCAAGGCUUCGACGGGUAGCCGGCCUGAGAGGGUGACCGGGCCCAUUGGCACUCAGAUACGGCCCGGAGUCGUACGGGAGGCAGGAGUGGGGGAUAUUGCACGAUGGGCGGAAGCCUGAUGCAGCAACACCGCGUGCGGGAUGACGGCCUUCGGGUUGUAGACCACUUUCGCCUGUGACGAUGCGUGAGUGACGGUAAUGGGUAAAGAAGCACCGGCUAACUACGUG
Molecule: ribosomal RNA, 468 nt
Filed under: uncultured bacterium
Lineage: Bacteria
Description: partial 16S ribosomal RNA
Rfam family: Bacterial small subunit ribosomal RNA
Source: RNAcentral